This 253-nucleotide ribosomal RNA is filed under the name uncultured bacterium. RNAcentral describes it as "partial 16S ribosomal RNA". It matches the Rfam family "Bacterial small subunit ribosomal RNA", at positions 524 to 776 of the family's 1533-position model. The record is from RNAcentral.
UACGAGAGGCCCAAACGUUAUUCGGAUUUACUGGGCUUAAAGAGUUCGUAGGCGGCGCGGAAAGUAGGGUGUGAAAGCCCUCGGCUCAACCGAGGAAUUGCGCUCUAAACUACCGUGCUUGAGGAAGCUAGAGGUGAGCGGAACUGAUGGUGGAGCGGUGAAAUGCGUUGAUAUCAUCAGGAACACCGGAGGCGAAGGCGGCUCACUGGACUGGUAUUGACGCUGAGGUGCGAAAGCGUGGGGAGCAAACAGG